This 427-nucleotide long non-coding RNA is filed under the name Serinus canaria (Common canary). Its description in RNAcentral is "lncRNA (ENSSCAG00000001129.1)". Lineage: Eukaryota; Metazoa; Chordata; Aves; Passeriformes; Fringillidae. The record is from RNAcentral.
AUGCCCCAAGCCCCUUCUGCAAUUGAUGUCCCCCCCGAGGAUGAUGUGUCACUACUUGAAGACUGAUCUCAGGAAGGACAAAUCAAUUCUGCAGUGAGUCCUGGUACUCCUUCUAACAAUCAGCAUUCCUGGUUCCCAGGGCUCUUCAAGGCCUAAAAAAAAGACCUAAAAACCUAAAAACCGAAUAUGCAUAUUCCCUGCAGUAUUUUCACUGCCUCAAGACAGACAAAAGGAUCUUGAAAAGUUCCUGCAUCCAUUCAGCAUGAGAACAGGGUGGAGUUGGAAGUGGCAGUGGUGAAGAACUGCUCCGGGUCCUGUGGUGGCUGCAGAGGAAAGGAGAGCUGGCCCCAGGAGCAGAGGAGCUGUCCCCAGUGCUGAGCUGGCACAGAGGUGCUGCCUGCCUGCGGCCGGGAGCCGCUCCGUGGCA